RNAcentral lists this ribosomal RNA (467 nucleotides) under uncultured bacterium. RNAcentral describes it as "partial 16S ribosomal RNA". It matches the Rfam family "Bacterial small subunit ribosomal RNA", at positions 28 to 506 of the family's 1533-position model. The record is from RNAcentral.
GACGAACGCUGGCGGCGUGCUUAAUACAUGCAAGUCGAACGGAAAGGCCCUGCUCUUGUGGGGUGCUCGAGUGGCGAACGGGUGAGUAACACGUGAGUAACAUGCCCUUGAAUUUGUGAUAACUUCUGGAAAAUGGGGCUAAUAACGGAUAGGAGCUCCUGCUGCAUGGUGGGGGUUGGAAAGUUUCGGCGGUUGGGGAUGGACUCGAGGCUUAUCAGCUUGUUGGUGGGGUAGUGGCUUACCAAGGCUUUGACGGGUAGCCGGCCUGAGAGGGUGACCCGCCACAGUGGGACUGAGAUACGGCCCAGACGCAUACGGGAGGCAGCAGUGGGGAAUUGUGCACGAUACGCCGAAGGCGGAUGCAGCAACGCCGCGUGCGAGAUGACGGCCUUCGGGGUGUAAACCUCUUUCGCCUGUGACGACGCGUGAGUGACGGUAAUAGGUAAAGAAGCACCGCCUAACUACGU